AACGAACGCUGGCGGCAUGCCUAACACAUGCAAGUCGAACGAUCCCUUCGGGGAUAGUGGCGCACGGGUGCGUAACGCGUGGGAACCUGCCCUUAGGUUCGGAAUAACUGAGAGAAAUUUCAGCUAAUACCGGAUAAUGUCUUCGGACCAAAGAUUUAUCGCCUUUGGAUGGGCCCGCGUUGGAUUAGCUAGUUGGUGGGGUAAAGGCCUACCAAGGCGACGAUCCAUAGCUGGUCUGAGAGGAUGAUCAGCCACACUGGGACUGAGACACGGCCCAGACUCCUACGGGAGGCAGCAGUGGGGAAUAUUGGACAAUGGGGGAAACCCUGAUCCAGCAAUGCCGCGUGAGUGAUGAAGGCCUUAGGGUUGUAAAGCUCUUUUACCAGGGAUGAUAAUGACAGUACCUGGAGAAUAAGCUCCGGCUAACUCCGUG
RNAcentral lists this ribosomal RNA (433 nucleotides) under uncultured bacterium. RNAcentral describes it as "bacterial SSU rRNA". It matches the Rfam family "Bacterial small subunit ribosomal RNA", at positions 29 to 507 of the family's 1533-position model. The record is from RNAcentral. RNAcentral also lists the same sequence under 1 other name.